This 800-nucleotide small RNA is filed under the name uncultured Trichosporon. RNAcentral describes it as "eukaryotic LSU rRNA". The stretch from base 515 to 800 matches the Rfam family "Eukaryotic large subunit ribosomal RNA", at positions 1 to 281 of the family's 3401-position model. The record is from RNAcentral. Lineage: Eukaryota; Fungi; Basidiomycota; Tremellomycetes.
CUUGGUCAUUUAGAGGAAGUAAAAGUCGUAACAAGGUUUCCGUAGGUGAACCUGCGGAAGGAUCAUUAGUGAUUGCCAUCUUGGCUUAAACUAUAUCCAUCUACACCUGUGAACCGUUUGAUUGAAUCUUCUGAUUCAAUUUUACAAACAUUGUGUAAUGAACGUCAUUAGAUCAUAACAAAAAAAAACUUUUAACAACGGAUCUCUUGGCUCUCGCAUCGAUGAAGAACGCAGCGAAAUGCGAUAAGUAAUGUGGAAUUGCAGAAUUCAGUGAAUCAUCGAAUCUUUGAACGCAACUUGCGCUCUCUGGUAUUCCGGAGAGCAUGCCUGUUUGAGUGUCAUGAAAUCUCAACCAUUAGGGUUUCUUAAUGGCUUGGAUUUGGAGGUUGCCAUUCUAAAUGGCUCCUCUUAAAGGAGUUAGCAAGUUUUACUAUUGCUAUCUGGCGUAAUAAGUUUCGCUGGAAUGGUAUUGUGAAGCGUGCUUCUAAUCGUCUUCGGACAAUUACUUUGACUCUGGCCUCAAAUCAGGUAGGACUACCCGCUGAACUUAAGCAUAUCAAUAAGCGGAGGAAAAGAAACUAACAAGGAUUCCCUUAGUAACGGCGAGUGAACCGGGAAGAGCUCAAAUUUGUAAUCUGGCUGUCUUCGAUAGUCCGAGUUGUAAUCUAUAGAAGCGUUUUCCGUGCUGAACUGUGUAUAAGUCCCUUGGAACAGGGUAUCAAAGAGGGUGACAAUCCCGUACUUUACACAAUCAUCAGUGCUCUGUGAUACGUUCUCUACGAGUCGAGUUGUUUGGGAAU